RNAcentral lists this long non-coding RNA (2116 nucleotides) under Strigops habroptila (Kakapo). Its description in RNAcentral is "lncRNA (ENSSHBG00005010853.1)". The record is from RNAcentral. Lineage: Eukaryota; Metazoa; Chordata; Aves; Psittaciformes; Psittacidae.
UUGUUUCCAAUAAACAUUUAUUCCAGGGUGAAAUGUAAAAAAUAUCUUUUAGGAGAGGAACGUUUAAGGGGGGAUGUUUUUUAAGAAGGCUCUUCUAAUAGGUUUAUUUCCAUUUUCUUCCUACUGAAGAAGCAGAUGAACCAUAAAAUCGAAACAACAGAAGCUUAAGGUGAUGGGGAGGUUUAGUUUUUAAAGCUAUGGGUCCCCCCCAGUCCCACAAAUCCCAUGUUUUCCAGCGUACCUCUGUUGGGAGGACCGAGCGGGGGGCCACAUCGGGGCCCUCCCGAAGUACUGCGCCACGAUCGGCUUCGCAAAUAUUUAUUUGCGGCGAUUUUUCCCCUCUUAAUUAUUUAAAAUACAAUGAAUUAGGCGUAAGUGCCUCGCCAUUACUGUAAUUCCAGGUGUUAAUUGCUACCGGGGCGGUCCCCGCGCCGAUGCGGAGCCUCUGCCGACAGGUGGCGCCGCAACCCCGGCCCUGCGCUCGGCGCAGCCCGCAGGGCGGCGGGACCGGGACCGGGACCGGGACGAACGGGAACGGGGAUGGGCCAGGACCGGGAGCAGGAACGGCGGGGAACGGGAAUGGGUCGGGCUGGGACCGGAGAAUGGGGGGAGGGACGGAGGACGGCGAUGGGCAGCGCCGGGCUGCGGCUCCCCCCGCGGUAGCGGUUCGCUGCCCGGUAUCGCUUCAAGCGGUGCUCAGACCCAGCUCCCCUUCCGGCCCGAGAGCUUUGUGUCGGUCCUGCGAAAAACCGAACGCGAUCACCCCAAAAAAUAAACUGAACACAAAGGAAGGAGAACCCGGGCUCUCGCUGGUCCCCGCGGUCGGAAGAAAUGAGUUUUACCCCGAACAAAGUCGGUCGGUCGGUAACUCCGUGGCCGCCCGCUGCCUCCUGCCCUGCGGCGCCCCGGCCCCGGGCAGCGCCAGGCUCCAUCCCCGCGGGGCACCAGCCAGCCGCGGCUCCGCCGGGGAUCCCGGCCUGCCGGCACCGCGACAAGGGACCAGGGCACCGGGAAGGGCAGAGUGCAGCCCGGCGGGGCCAGCUCCUCCCGCGCAGCCUCCGCGCCAUCCGGCCCCCGCGGCCGCCGGUCGCUCCUCACCCGGGCCGAGCCCACCGGUGGCUUUAAACUUUUCUGUUCCGAGUGCCAGGAAUGCUCGACUGCCCCAGCCCCAGCUCUCGCCCCUUCCCGGCUUCCCCUCCACGGGAGCCCCGACGGCGCGGCCGGGACCGCAGCCGCUCCGCGCAUCCUCCGCCAUGAGGACCCGUGGCAGUGGCAGCCCCCGCGGAGCGACACCGCGCUCAGCUCGGCCCUCGGGCCGGUCACUCACGCUCAGCGGCCGGUGCGCGCCGCUGCGCACCCGCGCAGUGUUUCUAAGCAAUGUUUGCGCCAACAGCGGCGUGCACUACGGGAGGGGUCGGGGGGAUGGCAGACAGCACCUGCCUCUCCUCGCCGCGCAGGUAAGGCGGGCUCCGCGGGCACCCGCGGAAGGCCCUCCUUGGUCUCCCGCGCACCCCCAGCAACGCGGGCCUGACCCCCUUCCUUAGCACGCCAGGGCCGCGGAAAAGUUACUCGGGGUGCGCGGCGCUGCCCUCCGCUGACGGAGCGACCCCAUCCCGCUUGCCCCCGCGCUGAACUCCGCCCGGCGGCGCGCAGCACCGCGCAGUACGCUCCGCGGCCACUUUCUCUUCCCCGCGGCGCGGAGCUGCCCCGCCUCCCCCGACCCGGCCCCCCCCCACCCCCCGUUCCCGCAGCCGACUUCCGCGCAGCUCCGCACCAGCGGGGCUCCCACUCCGCACCCCUCCGCGCCCCCCCCCGCCCCGCUUUGAUUAUUUUAUUCAUUUUUGAUGAUUCUCUCCCCCUGCACCGAGCCUUGUUUACCCAGCAGGUGGAUGUGACGUCAGAGACUGACAACAGCAAAAAAUAACAACAUCUCCCUCCGCGGGGGUGUCGCGGCCGCCCCCCGGCCCUCCCUCCGCGGGCGGCGUCCGAGCGGCGUGUCCGCGCCUCCCGCCUCCAUCCCCGCCCCGCCGGUGCUCUGUCGUUUGGGGUUUUUUUAUUCCCUGAAAAAAAGCAGGAGAGCGGGCCGGCGGCGGGCUGCGCGGGCAGCGCUGCGCGG